CCUACGGGUGGCAGCCGUGAGGAAUAUUGGUCAAUGGCCGGAAGGCUGAACCAGCCAAGCCGCGUGAAGGACGAAGGUGCCAAGCAUUGUAAACUUCUUUUGUCAAGGGACAAAAUCAGGCUCGAGAGCCUGACCGAGGGUACUUGAAGAAAAAGCAUCGGCUAACUCCGUUCCAGCAGCCGCGGUAAUACGGAGGAUGCGAGCGUUAUCCGGUGUUAUUGGGUUUAAAGGGUGCGUAGGCGGACUGUUAAGUCCGCGGUAAAAGCCCGGGGCGCAACCCCGGCGAGCCGUUGAAACUGGGUGUCUUGAGAUGUCGAGAGGUAUGCGGAAUGCGCAGUGUAGCGGUGAAAUGCUUAGAGAGUGCGCAGAACUCAGAUUGCGAAGGCAGCAUACCGGCGGCGAUCUGACGCUGAGGCACGAAAGCGUGGGUAUCGAACAGGAUUAGAGACCCUGGUAGUC
This 459-nucleotide ribosomal RNA is filed under the name uncultured bacterium. Its description in RNAcentral is "partial 16S ribosomal RNA". It matches the Rfam family "Bacterial small subunit ribosomal RNA", at positions 338 to 795 of the family's 1533-position model. The record is from RNAcentral.